GAUAGCUCGGGUCAGCUCAGGGUGGUUAAAUCUAAAAUGUUCCACGCAGGGCUGGCAGGUGAUUGGGGCGCUUGCAGGCAGCUCCAUGGUCUCAGCUGCCUUUGUGGGCACAAGGAUGGAGUACUGAGGGCUAUGGUGGGGGGCUCUGCUCCCACCAGCAGUGCAAGCCCAGCCCUCACAGCUGCUUCCUGACAGCGUGGGCCUGCCCUGCCCACAGCAAUCAUUGAAUUGAGCACAGGGAUUGUGCUGAGUGGAGCCCUUGCAGUGACAUCUCAGAACCCCUGGAGAGGAGAUAUGUUCAUCCUGCAGCCGCUGGGAAUUGAUUUAUGUGCAAUUUGUGAAGCUGAGACACCGAAGGUCAAAUUAUGGUGUUCGAACCCAGUCAAUGCCUGGCAGUAUCAGCAGAUCCUGGAUUUAUUGCUAAGGAAGGACAGAAGUUGCCAUGACUACUCACGGAGCAAUACUCUAUUACGUGCAAUGGAGACACUAACUGCCCCCAUGUCAGAGAAUUGCUGAGAACCAGUCCCCGAGAGGAUUGCCAAAUUCUCCACUGAAUGCCAGAGGAAGAAGGACUGUAAGAAGAAGUCAUCUGUCUCAGCUGAAAGGCUGAAUGGUGACUUGAAAACUGUACAGUUAACUUCAUUUAAUUUUCCUAUCUGUGUCAGGCAACAAACUGACUAAAGGAAAGCAUUCUGUGUGUUGUUUGCCUAGAAAUCCACUCAUCCUGGCCCAGCCUCGUGUGGGGCAGGGCACAGCAGCCUAUUUUUAUUUUUUUCAUGCUGUAUCUUAUUUAAAACCUGGCCAGAAAAGGGGGGAAUGGGACGAGGAGGGUUUUAAACAUUGGCUGUCACCUUAAUUGCAGCCUGGCAGUGAAUGGCUGCAGGCUUUCUUGGACAGCUCCUCCGUGAAUGUCACACACAAAUCCAUCCGACACCUGGGGUCAGAAGUAUUCUUCCGUGCUUUUUGUUAGGUCAUCUUUCCCCCUUCUGUGCCAAAGGGUCUGGCUAAAUUGGAUUGCAUUUAAAUGAGGUGAGUGUGUGAUGGAUCAGCCGAGUGCUGCUGUUUCCCUCCAAGUUUUGUGACAAAUCUCCCUAAUGCAAACACCGUGCCUCAUACCUUGAACUCGCUGCUGCAAUUAAAUACUGAUCCUUUAAGCCUUGUCUGGAAAAACAAUAUAGUAAUAGCAGAGGUGAGUGUUUGCACAGAAAAGGAGAGGUGUGCACGCAGCAGAUGCUGGCAGAGCUCUGGUAAUUCAGUUUGCAAGGGUCACAGUCACAUUGGAGACACCAGCAGUGACAUUGGCAAGUCCAGACCUUCAGUGCCAGCUCUCCAGGAAUUAGAGCAUGUACUGUGAUGCCUUCACUGCUGGGAGAGCUGAGCUGUGACACCAGCACGGUUUUUAUCAGCUUAUCGUUCAGCUAAAUGCAAACACAAUGAGCCAAAGAAGGGUGCUGACCGAUCGCCCAAUUCCCCUAAAACUUGAGUUUUGUCUGAGUGAUCAGCAAGAUACAGUGAGUGACACUGGAAUGAGUCUGCAGGGCACGUAGCCCGGUGAUUAGUCAGUUCUCAUUACCUCUUCCUCCAAUUAACGUCAGCAAAUCGGUGCUCCUGAAUCAAGGAGGACCUCAGGAGAAACGAAGCUUCCCCAAAACGCUGCCAGAUGUCAGCAAAGCUCCAAUCGCCUCGCCUGGCUGGUUCUGUACUUUUAACCCACGUAAUUAACUGUUCCCACCGUCCUGUUUCUGUCACUCCAGCCCUUCACCCGUGGUCUGCUGAUCGAUGCUGUUGGUUUAGCUGUGAUGGAGGAGUCUGUGCCUCGUGCUCCUGCUCUUCGUCUCAUUUCCAUGCUCAUCCCAGCCAAGCAGGAACCCAGCCUGAGAUCUCUUUUGUUACAGCUUCAUCACUCCGUUUGGAUCUUCCUCCCUCCUCGCUGUCUUUGCAGUUUCUCUCCAACGGGUUGUGGCAUUUGGCUUUUAUGGUCAGUCUCUGGAACUGGAAUAUAAGUUAAUUUUCCCCAUACUGUCCAAGAUACUAGGGGGGAUAUUUUUUUAUGUAUUUAUAUAUUUAUAUAUUUAUAUAUUUUUGGUAUCUGCAGGCUGAGGAGGAAGCUCACGUGUCACACAGGCAUUCAUUACAAAGGUGUUAUUUUUUUCCUCUUUAUUUUUAUUUUAAUUUUUUUAAAUUUUUAUUUUUAUUUUUCCCUGUGACUUGUCAGGAAUAAUUAAAUACUGUGAUUGUUUUGGCCUCCCUUCAAUGGGCAUUUACCCAACUCAUAAAUACGAGAGUAGCUCCCCUGAACUCUGUUUCCACUCAGGUAGAGUUGUGAAAGUUUGCUCAGUGAUGCUGUGAGGAAAACGAGGAAUCCAGAUGGGCUCAUGUUUGGGAAAACCCCGAGUUGUUUUUUCUCUAAAACCCAAAUAGUGUCGCUCAGAUCAAUUAAGAGUUGCUCAUUAACAUUAAAAAUACAUUCAUCCCCAGGUAUUUUCACAGUCCCCUUUGCUCCCAAAUUGGCAUGGGCAGUGCUGCUGUCCAAAACAAAUGAAGUGUGUGAAGACAGACAGUUUAAAGGCAUUGAGGAAUUUCAGACCUUUUACGUCUCACUUCGCUUUCACCUAAUUUGUUAAUGGCUAUGUUUCUCCCUGUGGGAAAAUAAAGCUUCUCUCUCUGACAUUUUAUAAAGGACCUACUAAACCUUCUUUUCUCCCUUUGGGUAAAAUCAGUUAAAUUGGCUUUUCUGGUGCCUUUCUGUUUUCCCUAGAGAAUCUGAGUUGGUUGUUAACACUUUCUGCCCCCUAGGCCUUACGAACAGUGUGACAGAAACCCUUAGAUACCUUAGAGGUCUAGGCACAACGUGGGCAGCUGUAGGUUCACUGGGGAGAGGCUUAUUAAUAUGUAAAAAAAAAAAGGAUAUAUAGGUGAAGAGAAGAGUAUCUGCUCAUCUGAGGUGUGAGCUGAAAUAAAAGCUUGCAGAGGGAUGCACAAUGAGUUUGUGACAUCACUGGGAAUUUCUGGAUCUCCUGGGCCACCAGAGAACAGGAUAUCUCCUCAGACAAAAGGACUUGUGAAUGUUUCCAAGCCUCACAGGUGUGUGUCACCACCAGGGAUGGCAAGCUGGGCACCUUGGUGUGCCACUCGUCGCUCCAGGCACAGGCGGACGCAUCCCUUGUGAAGUCUUAGCCAAAAUGCUUCCACAUGAACCUACUCUGCGGUGGCAAGAGCAGCUGGGAUGGCUCCUGUGCUCUUUGAUUUAUCCAGGCAGGCUACCAGGGUGUUUCCCUGGAAGUUUGUCAUGGCCUGACACGUGCUGCUCCCGUGGUGCCUCGCAGAGCUCCAUCAAUGUCCCUCCCUUGAGGAGAACAUGCUGAGCCAGCCUUGCAAGCUGCUCCAGCCGUGGGAUACCUGAUCCUCAGGCUGGAAGAGCCCUCGGAGCACGAGGUCUGCCUGACCUUCCAUUUCCUUUUCCUCCCCAUCUCUCACUUCACGUUCUCUUUGCUGUCCAUCCUGAUAUGUGGCAGGUGGUGGGGAGGGACGCGUCGCGUUGGUGCUGCGGAGGUUUUCCUCUGCAAAGGAAAACAUCUUCGUUCUGUAGGCAUUGAUGGAGAAGAGUGUUAAUUUAAAACCUGCCCCAGAUUAGUGUAGAACAGCGUAAACGACCAGCAGGUGCUGUGAAUGAUGGAUGGCAGGGAAGGAUUUGGACUGUCACUGCUCCACCACAGCAGGAGUGUUCUACAAGUGUUUUCUGUGUCAUUUCUGCAUUUGCUUUACUUAACAAUAGCCAUUAACCGCCCACUCUUAAAAAAUCAUCCUCUGCUAGGAUUCUACCAAGAAAGAAGGGGACAAUUUGGAACUUGCUUUGAAACAGCACUCUCAUGGGAAUUCAAAGCGUGGUUAUUAUUGUGCUGCUCGGAAAGCUGCUUUUCUGUCCAGCUUCCCUGUGAUCCCUUUAGCUCUAUCUGAUACCAAAGGCUUGAGAUCUCCAGAUUAGGAAUUAAAUUCCGCCUCUGUGGCCCAGACCU
This is a long non-coding RNA of Hirundo rustica (Barn swallow), 4016 nucleotides long. RefSeq lists it as uncharacterized. Lineage: Eukaryota; Metazoa; Chordata; Aves; Passeriformes; Hirundinidae. The record is from RefSeq and is a predicted model, not a curated record. The transcript is spliced from 4 exons.